AUUGAACGCUGGCGGCAUGCCUUACACAUGCAAGUCGAACGGCAGCACGGGAGCAAUCCUGGUGGCGAGUGGCGAACGGGUGAGUAAUAUAUCGGAACGUGCCCAGUCGUGGGGAUAACGUAGCGAAAGCUACGCUAAUACCGCAUACGAUCUACGGAUGAAAGCGGGGGAUCGCAAGACCUCGCGCGAUUGGAGCGGCCGAUAUCAGAUUAGGUAGUUGGUGAGGUAAAGGCUCACCAAGCCGACGAUCUGUAGCUGGUCUGAGAGGACGACCCAGCCACACUGGGACUGAGACACGGCCCAGACUCCUACGGGAGGCAGCAGUGGGAAUUUGGACAAUGGGCGCAAGCCUGAUCCAGCAAUGCCGCGUGCAGGAUGAAGGCCUGGUGUAAC
RNAcentral lists this ribosomal RNA (393 nucleotides) under uncultured bacterium. RNAcentral's name for it is "bacterial SSU rRNA". It matches the Rfam family "Bacterial small subunit ribosomal RNA", at positions 30 to 429 of the family's 1533-position model. The record is from RNAcentral.